Molecule: ribosomal RNA, 739 nt
Filed under: uncultured Okeania sp.
Lineage: Bacteria; Bacillati; Cyanobacteriota; Cyanophyceae; Oscillatoriales; Microcoleaceae
Description: bacterial SSU rRNA
Rfam family: Bacterial small subunit ribosomal RNA
Source: RNAcentral
UGCUAAUCCCGGAUGAGCCNNUGGGUAAAAGAUAAAUUGCCUGGAGAUGAGCUCGCGUCUGAUUAGCUAGUUGGUGGGGUAAAAGCUUACCAAGGCAACGAUCAGUAGCUGGUCUGAGAGGAUGAGCAGCCACACUGGGACUGAGACACGGCCCAGACUCCUACGGGAGGCAGCAGUGGGGAAUUUUCCGCAAUGGGCGAAAGCCUGACGGAGCAAGACCGCGUGGGGGAGGAAGGCUUUAGGGUUGUAAACCCCUUUUCUUUGGGAAGAAGUUCUGACGGUACCAAAGGAAUCAGCCUCGGCUAACUCCGUGCCAGCAGCCGCGGUAAUACGGAGGAGGCAAGCGUUAUCCGGAAUGAUUGGGCGUAAAGCGUCCGCAGGUGGCCAUGUAAGUCUGCUGUCAAAACCCAGGGCUCAACUCUGGUCAGGCAGUGGAAACUACAAAGCUAGAGUCUGGUAGGGGCAAAGGGAAUUCCCGGCGUAGCGGUGAAAUGCGUAGAUUUCGGGAAGAACAUCGGUGGCGAAAGCGCUUUGCUAGACCAGAACUGACACUCAGGGACGAAAGCUAGGGGAGCGAAUGGGAUUAGAUACCCCAGUAGUCCUAGCCGUAAACGAUGGAUACUAGGUGUUGCCUGUAUCGACCCAGGCAGUGCCGUAGCUAACGCGUUAAGUAUCCCGCCUGGGGAGUACGCACGCAAGUGUGAAACUCAAAGGAAUUGACGGGGGCCCGCACAAGCGG